GAUGAACGCUGGCGGCGUGCUUAACACAUGCAAGUCGAGCGAAGCGCUUUGGUUAGAUUCUUCGGAUGAAGACCUUUGUGACUGAGCGGCGGACGGGUGAGUAACGCGUGGGUAACCUGCCUCAUACAGGGGAGGUAACUAACGUAGGUAAAGUAAGUACGUACGUCGUAACUUAAACCGUACCCGAUAAAGUAAACCGAACCCAACGUAACCGGUACCGACUAGGUUAC
RNAcentral lists this ribosomal RNA (230 nucleotides) under uncultured bacterium. RNAcentral describes it as "partial 16S ribosomal RNA". The record is from RNAcentral.